RNAcentral lists this ribosomal RNA (253 nucleotides) under uncultured bacterium. Its description in RNAcentral is "partial 16S ribosomal RNA". It matches the Rfam family "Bacterial small subunit ribosomal RNA", at positions 524 to 776 of the family's 1533-position model. The record is from RNAcentral.
UACAGAGGAUGCAAGCGUUAUCCGGAAUGAUUGGGCGUAAAGCGUCUGUAGGGGGCUUUUUAAGUCUGCCGUCAAAUCCCAGGGCUUAACCCUGGACAGGCGGUGGAAACUACCAAGCUGGAGUACGGUAGGGGCAGGGGGAAUUUCCGGUGGAGCGGUGAAAUGCGUAGAGAUCGGAAAGAACACCAACGGCGAAAGCACUCUGCUGGGCCGACACUGACACUGAGAGACGAAAGCUAGGGGAGCGAAUGGG